This 425-nucleotide ribosomal RNA is filed under the name uncultured bacterium. Its description in RNAcentral is "partial 16S ribosomal RNA". It matches the Rfam family "Bacterial small subunit ribosomal RNA", at positions 354 to 796 of the family's 1533-position model. The record is from RNAcentral.
GUGGGGAAUAUUGGACAAUGGGCGCAAGCCUGAUCCAGCCAUGCCGCGUGAGUGAUGAAGGCCCUAGGGUUGUAAAGCUCUUUCACCGAUGAAGAUAAUGACGGUAGUCGGAGAAGAAGCCCCGGCUAACUUCGUGCCAGCAGCCGCGGUAAUACGAAGGGGGCUAGCGUUGUUCGGAAUUACUGGGCGUAAAGCGCACGUAGGCGGAUAUUUAAGUCAGGGGUGAAAUCCCAGAGCUCAACUCUGGAACUGCCUUUGAUACUGGGUAUCUCGAGUAUGGAAGAGGUGAGUGGAAUUCCGAGUGUAGAGGUGAAAUUCGUAGAUAUUCGGAGGAACACCAGGGGCGAAGGCGGCUCACUGGUCCAUUACUGACGCUGAGGUGCGAAAGCGUGGGGAGCAAACAGGAUUAGAAACCCCUGUAGUCC